RNAcentral lists this ribosomal RNA (253 nucleotides) under uncultured bacterium. Its description in RNAcentral is "partial 16S ribosomal RNA". It matches the Rfam family "Bacterial small subunit ribosomal RNA", at positions 524 to 776 of the family's 1533-position model. The record is from RNAcentral.
UACGUAGGGUGCAAGCGUUGUCCGGAAUUAUUGGGCGUAAAGAGCUCGUAGGCGGUCUGUCACGUCGGAUGUGAAAACUCGGGGCUCAACCCCGAGCCUGCAUACGAUACGGGCAGACUUGAGUUCGGCAGGGGAGACUGGAAUUCCUGGUGUAGCGGUGAAAUGCGUAGAUAUCUGGAGGAACACCGGUGGCGAAGGCGGCAUUCUGGACCGGCAUUGACGCUGAUGCGCGAAAGCCAGGGGAGCAAACGGG